RNAcentral lists this transfer RNA (73 nucleotides) under Gadus morhua (Atlantic cod). RNAcentral describes it as "tRNA-Tyr (GTA) (tRNA-Tyr-GTA-13-1)". It matches the Rfam family "tRNA". From Rfam's summary of the family: Transfer RNA (tRNA) molecules are approximately 80 nucleotides in length. Their secondary structure includes four short double-helical elements and three loops (D, anti-codon, and T loops). Further hydrogen bonds mediate the characteristic L-shaped molecular structure. tRNAs have two regions of fundamental functional importance: the anti-codon, which is responsible for specific mRNA codon recognition, and the 3' end, to which the tRNAs corresponding amino acid is attached (by aminoacyl-tRNA synthetases). tRNAs cope with the degeneracy of the genetic code in two manners: having more than one tRNA (with a specific anti-codon) for a particular amino acid; and 'wobble' base-pairing, i.e. permitting non-standard base-pairing at the 3rd anti-codon position. Lineage: Eukaryota; Metazoa; Chordata; Actinopteri; Gadiformes; Gadidae. The record is from RNAcentral.
CCUUCGAUAGCUCAGUUGGUAGAGCGGAGUACUGUAGAUCCUUAGGUCGCUGGUUCAACUCCGGCUCGAAGGA